Rhincodon typus (whale shark) is the source of this 1232-nucleotide long non-coding RNA. RefSeq lists it as uncharacterized. The record is from RefSeq and is a predicted model, not a curated record. Lineage: Eukaryota; Metazoa; Chordata; Chondrichthyes; Orectolobiformes; Rhincodontidae. The transcript is spliced from 3 exons.
GACAGUACGUCUUAACCUAUGUUUUGAGAAGCUGAUCGUAACUCUCCAAAGCUUCCUGUGAUUGCAGAUGAUAUACAAUUAACUUCACUCGUUUUAUACCCAAACGGCUGCUAAUCUGGAAAAUUCAGGUUGUGGGCUACCAGGCAGGAUACAAUGAGUAAAAAACUGGGUUACAGUUUCCAAUACUACCUUAGCUGUAAUUGUCUUCAAAAGGAGCAGCUUCUGAGAAUCAGGUUGCCAUAUUCAUAAUUAUAAGGAUAUACUGAUGUCUACUUUAGUUUUUGGUGACAGUCCUACACAAUCCACUAACACUCAACUAAAUGGUUCUUCAAAAACUGGUGUAGGUAUCAAAAGUUACAUUAAGAGGUUUUCUUCUUCAGCGAGAGCACGAGAGAGAGGGAGACGUGUGUGUGAGAGAGAGAGAAAGAGAGAACUAGAGUUUAGGUUGCCCCAGUAUCCCUUGCUGUAGUUAGGUGCUUGAACGUGUGCUUUGAAGAAAAAAGGUCACCUUCCCUUUAAACAAAACACUUUCAUAUCUCUUAUCCAGACCUCUGUACUUGCAGAACCUCCAGUUGUAGUUAAAGCUACAAGAUCUGCUCUGUGGCACUUUCCUUUUGAGUUUCCUUUACUGAUUCAUGAUGAGCUCCCAUGUGCUUCUCUUACAUUUCCAGCAUUCUGAACAAAUGUGUCCCACUCUGUUACAAUGGAAACAUCUCAACUUCUUACUUUCACAUCCAUACUCCAUACUUUUCUCCCUGAUCUGUGGGGAUAACCUUGAGUGGUUAUAGUUUCAACUUCCAAUGCUCGUAUCCACCUGUCAAAAUGAUUUUGUUUAAACACUUUUUGAAUUCCGUUUUUCUUUAUUAUUCAUUCACAGGAUGAAGAUGUUGCUGGCAAGGUCAGCAGUUUUUGCCCAUCCCCUAUUGCUCACAGGGUAAUUAAGAGUCGACCACAUUGCUGCAGGUCUGGAGUCACAUGUGGGCCAGAUAAGCAUAUGCUCAAGAACAGGUCAGAUCCUCGCUCAACAGGGGAAUCAGCUUCAGGUCUCAUUGCCAGAUGUGCCGAAGACACAGGCCAGACGAAUUGAACGGAGGUCUUGUGGCGGAAGCAAGGCAAAUACUGGCCACUUCCCAACAUCCACCAUGACAAGACUCUCAGUGCAGCACCAUACAGAGUGACAAUGAAGACCUGGAGAGAUUCAAAGUAACAGAAAUAAAUUCUCAUUAAUCACA